UACGGGGGGGGCAAGCGUUGUUCGGAAUUACUGGGCGUAAAGGGCUCGUAGGCGGCCAACUAAGUCAGACGUGAAAUCCCUCAGCUUAACUGGGGAACUGCGUCUGAUACUGGCGGGCUUGAGGACAGGAGAGGAACGCGGAAUUCCAGGUGUAGCGGUGAAAUGCGUAGAUAUCUGGAGGAACACCGGUGGCGAAGGCGGCGUUCUGGACUGUUUCUGACACUGAAAAACGAAAGCCAGGGGAGCAAACGGG
Molecule: ribosomal RNA, 253 nt
Filed under: uncultured bacterium
Lineage: Bacteria
Description: partial 16S ribosomal RNA
Rfam family: Bacterial small subunit ribosomal RNA
Source: RNAcentral